This 515-nucleotide ribosomal RNA is filed under the name uncultured bacterium. RNAcentral's name for it is "partial 16S ribosomal RNA". It matches the Rfam family "Bacterial small subunit ribosomal RNA", at positions 28 to 523 of the family's 1533-position model. The record is from RNAcentral.
GACGAACGCUGGCGGCGUGCCUAAUACAUGCAAGUCGAGCGGACUUUCAAGAAGCUUGCUUUUUGAAAGUUAGCGGCGGACGGGUGAGUAACACGUGGGCAACCUGCCUGUAAGACGAGGAUAACUCCGGGAAACCGGGGCUAAUACCGGAUAAUAUCUUUCUUCGCAUGAAGGAAGGUUGAAAGGCGGCGCAAGCUGCCGCUUGCAGAUGGGCCCGCGGCGCAUUAGCUAGUUGGUGAGGUAACGGCUCACCAAGGCGACGAUGCGUAGCCGACCUGAGAGGGUGAUCGGCCACACUGGGACUGAGACACGGCCCAGACUCCUACGGGAGGCAGCAGUAGGGAAUCUUCCGCAAUGGACGAAAGUCUGACGGAGCAACGCCGCGUGAGCGAAGAAGGUCUUCAGAUCGUAAAGCUCUGUUGUCAGGGAAGAACAAGUACCGUUCGAAUAGGGCGGUACCUUGACGGUACCUGACCAGAAAGCCACGGCUAACUACGUGCCAGCCGCCGCAGUAA